UGAGAAGCAGACCGUGUUGGCCCAGAUC
This 28-nucleotide non-coding RNA is filed under the name Homo sapiens (human). The record is from RNAcentral. Lineage: Eukaryota; Metazoa; Chordata; Mammalia; Primates; Hominidae.